This 253-nucleotide ribosomal RNA is filed under the name uncultured bacterium. RNAcentral describes it as "partial 16S ribosomal RNA". It matches the Rfam family "Bacterial small subunit ribosomal RNA", at positions 523 to 769 of the family's 1533-position model. The record is from RNAcentral.
AUACGAAGGGGGCUAGCGUUGUUCGGAAUUACUGGGCGUAAAGCGCAUGUAGGCGGACAUUUAAGUCAGGGGUGAAAUCCCGGGGCUCAACCUCGGAACUGCCUUUGAUACUGGGUGUCUAGAGUGUGGAAGAGGUAAGUGGAAUUCCGAGUGUAGAGGUGAAAUUCGUAGAUAUUCGGAGGAACACCAGUGGCGAAGGCGGCUUACUGGUCCAGGGGGGUUACUGACGCUGAGGUGCGAAAGCGUGGGGAGC